Bubalus bubalis (water buffalo) is the source of this 413-nucleotide long non-coding RNA. RefSeq lists it as uncharacterized. The transcript has 3 exons. Lineage: Eukaryota; Metazoa; Chordata; Mammalia; Artiodactyla; Bovidae. The record is from RefSeq and is a predicted model, not a curated record.
AGAAGGUCAUCUGAACGGGGUCACACAGGAGGCGGUUUCAAUCUGGCUCCUUUGGCUCUGCAUAGUCCCUUGUGAUUCAGCCGGGCUGCCUAUUUCUAGUUUAAUGUUGUUAUGGUUCAAGAUCAGAUGAUUUCUAUUCUUUUGGAUUUGCUGAGAUUCGUUCUACAGUCCAGAGGAUGCGCCGGUUGGAUGGCAGCAGUAAUGCAAUGGCCGUGAAUCUGCAAACUCCAGGAGGUGGCGAAGGACAGGGAGGCCUGGCGUGCUGCAGCCCCUGGGGCCGCAGAGAGCCGGACACUCCUGAGCGGCCCUCAGCCCCGUGAGUCUGGGGCUCCUGUAUUGCCUAGGUGCGCACGCCUUUGGAUUGUUAUGGCUGCACGUUUGUCAUUAUGCAGUGUUCCUCUUUAUCUCUGACA